RNAcentral lists this ribosomal RNA (253 nucleotides) under uncultured bacterium. RNAcentral describes it as "partial 16S ribosomal RNA". It matches the Rfam family "Bacterial small subunit ribosomal RNA", at positions 524 to 776 of the family's 1533-position model. The record is from RNAcentral.
UACGUAGGGGGCAAGCGUUAUCCGGAUUUACUGGGUGUAAAGGGAGCGCAGGCGGUGCGGCAAGUCUGAUGUGAAAGCCCGAGGCUCAACCCCGGGACUGCAUUGGAAACUGUCGUACUUGAGUAUCGGAGAGGUAAGUGGAAUUCCUAGUGUGGCGGUGAAAUGCGUAGAUAUUAGGAGGAACACCAGUGGCGAAGGCGGCUUACUGGACGAUAACUGACGCUGAGGCUCGAAAGCGUGGGGAGCAAACAGG